This 498-nucleotide ribosomal RNA is filed under the name uncultured bacterium. RNAcentral describes it as "partial 16S ribosomal RNA". It matches the Rfam family "Bacterial small subunit ribosomal RNA", at positions 30 to 523 of the family's 1533-position model. The record is from RNAcentral.
AUUGAACGCUGGCGGCAUGCCUUACACAUGCAAGUCGAACGGUAACAGGUCUUCGGAUGCUGACGAGUGGCGAACGGGUGAGUAAUACAUCGGAACGUGCCUAGUAGUGGGGGAUAACUACUCGAAAGAGUGGCUAAUACCGCAUGAGAUCUACGGAUGAAAGCAGGGGAUCGCAAGACCUUGUGCUACUAGAGCGGCCGAUGGCAGAUUAGGUAGUUGGUGGGAUAAAAGCUUACCAAGCCGACGAUCUGUAGCUGGUCUGAGAGGACGAUCGGCCACACUGGGACUGAGACACGGCCCAGAUUCCUACGGGAGGGAGCAGUGGGGAAUUUUGGACAAUGGGCGAAAGCCUGAUCCAGCAAUGCCGCGUGCAGGAUGAAGGCCUUCGGGUUGUAAACUGCUUUUGUACGGAACGAAAAGCCCCGGGUUAAUACCCUGGGGUCAUGACGGUACCGUAAGAAUAAGCACCGGCUAACUACGUGCCAGCCGCCGCCGUAA